RNAcentral lists this ribosomal RNA (563 nucleotides) under uncultured bacterium. RNAcentral's name for it is "bacterial SSU rRNA". It matches the Rfam family "Bacterial small subunit ribosomal RNA", at positions 338 to 918 of the family's 1533-position model. The record is from RNAcentral.
CCUACGGGAGGCAGCAGUGGGGAAUCUUGGACAAUGGGCGCAAGCCUGAUCCAGCCAUGCCGCGUGAGUGAUGAAGGCCUUAGGGCCGUAAAGCUCUUUCGCCAGAGAUGAUAAUGACAGUAUCUGGUAAAGAAACCCCGGCUAACUCCGUGCCAGCAGCCGCGGUAAUACGGAGGGGGUUAGCGUUGUUCGGAAUUACUGGGCGUAAAGCGCGCGUAGGCGGAUUAGUAAGUUAGAGGUGAAAUCCCGGGGCUCAACCCCGGAACUGCCUUUAAUACUGCUAGUCUUGAGUUCGAGAGAGGUGAGUGGAAUUCCGAGUGUAGAGGUGAAAUUCGUAGAUAUUCGGAGGAACACCAGUGGCGAAGGCGGCUCACUGGACAGUUAUUGACGCUGAGGUGCGGAAGCGUGGGGAGCAAACAGGAUUAGAUACCCUGGUAGUCCACGCCGUAAACGAUGAUAACUAGCUGCUUGGGCUCAUGGAGCUUGGGUGGCGCAGCUAACGCAUUAAGUUAUCCGCCUGGGGAGUACGGUCGCAAGAUUAAAACUCAAAGGAAUUGACGGGG